This 271-nucleotide long non-coding RNA is filed under the name Gossypium barbadense (sea-island cotton). Its description in RNAcentral is "long non-coding RNA (GBAR_LNC000797)". The record is from RNAcentral. Lineage: Eukaryota; Viridiplantae; Streptophyta; Magnoliopsida; Malvales; Malvaceae.
GAACACAAAUUCUAUUGCGAUAACACAAUUUACCAUUAUCAUCAACACUGUACUCUGAAUUUAAAUUAUUCUGAACCAUCUGUCGUUUCAACACCAACUUCAGUUCUUCAUCUUGCAAUUCUUGAAUUCUUUGAAGACAUUAGGGAUUCAUUCUCAACUUUGCUAAUACUUAACUAUCUUCAUUAAAAACUAAAUGAGCAUUCAACGCUUGAAAUGAAAACAAUGACGAUUUCAGACUAAGUGCAUCUGCAACUACGUUAGCCUUUCCCGG